Molecule: unclassified non-coding RNA, 660 nt
Filed under: Hevea brasiliensis (rubber tree)
Lineage: Eukaryota; Viridiplantae; Streptophyta; Magnoliopsida; Malpighiales; Euphorbiaceae
Source: RNAcentral
UUUUGCUCUCUCGCCAAGAUGUCUGUUACAAUGGGUUCCUUGUAAAAAUACAACACCUCUAAUUCAACAACAAAUUCCCGGAAUUGAACACAUCAUUGGGAGAAUAAAAUUUAGCAUCUCAAGUUCAUUUGUCAUAUCGAGCAUUUCUUCUUGCGCACUCCAAGAUAGUUUUGUCAGCAGUGAUGAAAUAAGCAGCAAUUGAUGCACCAGAGAUGAUGAGUGAUUGAGCAACGUAAUUGAGAUUCGCCUUUGCCCAAGGAAUCACGCGAACAGCAGUCAAAGUAGGGACAGCAGUGACAACACAAGUGAUAGCAGCUGCCUUAGCUCCGGCACGAGCACCUUCUUCAGUGCAACGUUUAGAUUCCAAAAUCCUCUUUUCCUCAGCUGGAGAAGGAAUCACAAAGGAAGCGUUAUACUUCUUGUUGUUUCUGAUUGUCUGUGCCAAGUAAUCUCUCAUUUCUGAUGGGAUCCCCAUUAUUUUCUUCCUUACAGUUUCAACUUCUUCAAAAUCAAAACGAAGUCAAUCUUCCUCUACAAAAUCAAAACAAGAAAAACGAAUCCAAUGGCAGCGAUCCAAUAGCUAGAAAGAAAGAGAGAGAGAGUCGGGUCGUGAUUGUACGUCUGCUAAGCGAAUUGGAUCGGCAUGGUCCUGCUAAAUAG